This 465-nucleotide ribosomal RNA is filed under the name Vreelandella stevensii. Its description in RNAcentral is "partial 16S ribosomal RNA". It matches the Rfam family "Bacterial small subunit ribosomal RNA", at positions 338 to 795 of the family's 1533-position model. The record is from RNAcentral. Lineage: Bacteria; Pseudomonadati; Pseudomonadota; Gammaproteobacteria; Oceanospirillales; Halomonadaceae.
CCUACGGGUGGCUGCAGUGGGGAAUAUUGGACAAUGGGCGAAAGCCUGAUCCAGCCAUGCCGCGUGUGUGAAGAAGGCCUUCGGGUUGUAAAGCACUUUCAGUGGGGAAGAAAGCCUUGGGGCUAAUACCCUCGAGGAAGGACAUCACCCACAGAAGAAGCACCGGCUAACUCCGUGCCAGCAGCCGCGGUAAUACGGAGGGUGCGAGCGUUAAUCGGAAUUACUGGGCGUAAAGCGCGCGUAGGCGGUCUGAUAAGCCGGUUGUGAAAGCCCCGGGCUCAACCUGGGAACGGCAUCCGGAACUGUCAGGCUAGAGUGCAGGAGAGGAAGGUAGAAUUCCCGGUGUAGCGGUGAAAUGCGUAGAGAUCGGGAGGAAUACCAGUGGCGAAGGCGGCCUUCUGGACUGACACUGACGCUGAGGUGCGAAAGCGUGGGUAGCAAGCAGGAUUAGAUACCCUGGUAGUC